Molecule: long non-coding RNA, 255 nt
Filed under: Manihot esculenta (cassava)
Lineage: Eukaryota; Viridiplantae; Streptophyta; Magnoliopsida; Malpighiales; Euphorbiaceae
Description: long non-coding RNA (MESC_LNC008006)
Source: RNAcentral
AUGGAAGAAAUUCUGCCAGAAAGUGAUCAGGGAAGUGAUUUGCCCAAUUCACUAGUAGAAACUGACCCGAUCGCUGGGCAAACUGAGCUGUCCAGCAGUGAUUUGCCCAAAUCACCAGAGAAGGCAGAGAGUGAUCUGCCCAAAUCAACAGACCAGGCAGAAUCCAGUCAAAGGCAGAAACAACAACUUAUGGAGAAAUUCAAGGUACCUCCUCCCUUCCCAAAGAGAUUUGCAAGAUCCCAAAAGGAGAAAGAG